GACGUAGGGUGCAAGCGUUUGUCCGGAUUUAUUGGGCGUAAAGAGCUCGUAGGCGGUUUGUCGCGUCUGCUGUGAAAGACCGGGGCUCAACUCCGGUUCUGCAGUGGGUACGGGCAGACUAGAGUGCAGUAGGGGGAGACUGGAAUUCCUGGUGUAGCGGUGAAAUGCGCAGAUAUCAGGAGGAACACCGGUGGCGAAGGCGGGUCUCUGGGCCGUAACUGACGCUGAGGAGCGAAAGCUAGGGUAGCAAACGGG
This 255-nucleotide ribosomal RNA is filed under the name uncultured bacterium. RNAcentral's name for it is "partial 16S ribosomal RNA". It matches the Rfam family "Bacterial small subunit ribosomal RNA", at positions 524 to 776 of the family's 1533-position model. The record is from RNAcentral.